GAUGAACGCUGGCGGCGUGCCUAAUACAUGCAAGUCGAGCGAACAGACGAGGAGCUUGCUCCUCUGACGUUAGCGGCGGACGGGUGAGUAACACGUGGAUAACCUACCUAUAAGACUGGGAUAACUUCGGGAAACCGGAGCUAAUACCGGAUAAUAUAUUGAACCGCAUGGUUCAAUAGUGAAAGACGGUUUUGCUGUCUCUUAUAGAUUGAUCCGCGCCGCAUUAGCUAGUUGGUAAGGUAACGGCUUACCAAGGCAACGAUGCGUAGCUGACCUGAGAGGGUGAUCGGCCACACUGGAACUGAGACACGGUCCAGACUCCUACGGGAGGCAGCAGUAGGGAAUCUUCCGCAAUGGGCGAAAGCCUGACGGAGCAACGCCGCGUGAGUGAUGAAGGUCUUCGGAUCGUAAAACUCUGUUAUUAGGGAAGAACAAAUGUGUAAGUAACUAUGCACGUCUUGACGGUACCUAAUCAGAAAGCCACGGCUAACUACGUG
Molecule: ribosomal RNA, 497 nt
Filed under: uncultured bacterium
Lineage: Bacteria
Description: partial 16S ribosomal RNA
Rfam family: Bacterial small subunit ribosomal RNA
Source: RNAcentral